UACAUGUUUACUUUUAUAUUUGCUGUUUACUUACAUGUUUACCUUUAUAUGUGAUGUUUAUUUACAUGUUUACCUUUAUAUUUGAUAAAGUGCAUGUAUUUGUAUGGCACAGAAUGUAAAACUCAGCUGUCAGCUAAGGUGAUCAACCUAUUGACGCUGGAUAAAGUGACCAAACGUUAAUACAAUGGCAAGGAGUGACAGGAUUAUUAAUGAAUAACAUUACUUUCUGACGGGCUAAGGUAGUUGUUUACUUUCUGACGGGCUAAGGUAGUUGUUGUCAAUGAAUAACAUUACUUUCUGACGGGCUAAGGUAGUUGUUGUCAAUGAAUAACAUUACUUUCUGACGGGGUAAGGUAGUUGUUUACUUUCUGACGGGGUAAGGUAGUUGUUUACUUUCUGACGGGCUAAGGUAGUUGUUGUCAACUUGCUAUUGUUAGCUUCAGUGGUAUGGCUCCAUACAAAAUAGCAUAGAAUUCUCAAUUAUGCCACCUUCAAUUGUAUUUGAAAAUGUUUUAUGGGAUGGUCUGAACACAAUUAGCACAUUAUACCUCCCGAAGGGUCCUAAAUGUUGUGUUGACAACUUUACAUGUUUAAUGUCAUUAUUGCACUUACAUUUGUAAACGUUUUCCUU
Long non-coding RNA from Clupea harengus (Atlantic herring), 631 nucleotides. Lineage: Eukaryota; Metazoa; Chordata; Actinopteri; Clupeiformes; Clupeidae. The record is from Ensembl.